Molecule: ribosomal RNA, 606 nt
Filed under: uncultured bacterium
Lineage: Bacteria
Description: bacterial SSU rRNA
Rfam family: Bacterial small subunit ribosomal RNA (bases 1-522)
Source: RNAcentral
CCUACGGGAGGCAGCAGUGGGGAAUAUUGCGCAAUGGGCGAAAGCCUGACGCAGCGACGCCGCGUGAGGGAUGAAGGCCUUCGGGUUGUAAACCUCUUUCAGCAGGGACGAAGCGAAAGUGACGGUACCUGCAGAAGAAGCACCGGCUAACUACGUGCCAGCAGCCGCGGUAAUACGUAGGGUGCAAGCGUUGUCCGGAUUUAUUGGGCGUAAAGAGCUCGUAGGCGGUCUGUCGCGUCGGAUGUGAAAACCCAGGGCUCAACCCUGGGCCUGCAUUCGAUACGGGCAGACUUGAGUGUUGCAGGGGAGACUGGAAUUCCUGGUGUAGCGGUGAAAUGCGCAGAUAUCAGGAGGAACACCGGUGGCGAAGGCGGGUCUCUGGGCAACAACUGACGCUGAGGAGCGAAAGCGUGGGGAGCGAACAGGAUUAGAUACCCUGGUAGUCCACGCCGUAAACGGUGGGCGCUAGGUGUGGGGAACCUUCCACGUUCUCUGUGCCGCNGCUACGACAUAGCGCCCGCCGUCGGGAGGACGGCCGCGACGACGUAAACUACAANAGAGUAGAGGCGUGAGACGUGCCGACGGACGACGACGAGGGAGGUUAGG